CUCAUGCCUCCGUCUCUCCCCAAGGGUGUUUGACAGACUGUGCCUGGAACCAGAGGGAAAAGAAUUCUUCACCAUUAUAGGUACAAGAUGUGGUUCCCUGUGCUAUAAAUUUUUCAAGGAAUCUCCAUGCUGUUUUCCAUAGUGGCUGUACCAACGUAAUUCCCGUCAACAGUGUAGGAGGGGUCAUUCAUUCUUGAUUUUGUAAUUUUCACACUUGGGAUUCCCAUCUGUCUACAAUCCCAUUUUUACAAAUGAAGACACCAGCUUGAGAGAUAUAGACAUGCACAUGUCUGAGCAUAAAAUAUAAGUGGCCAAAAAGCAUAUGAAAAGCAUCAGUCUUUUCCAAAGAGUCAACUCUUCGCAUGAGGUGGCCAAAGUACUGGAGUUUCAGCUUUAGCAUCAUUCCUUCCAAAGAAAUCCCAGGGCUGAUCUCCUUCAGAAUGGACUGGUUGGAUCUCCUUGAAGUCCAAGGGACUCUCAAGAGUCUUCUCCAAGCAUCACUGACUCGAUGGACAUGAGUCUGAGUGAAAUCCAGGAGUUGGUGAUGGACAGGGAGACCUGGCGUGCUGUGAUUCAUGGGGUCACAAAGAGUUGGACACAACUGAGCGACUGAACUGAACUGACUGACUGAACUGAAGCACUUAAUAAACAUGAGCUGAGGGAUUUCCCUGGUGGCUCAGUGGUAAAGAAUCUGCCUGUCAAUGCAGGAGACAUGGGUUCCAUCUCCGGUCUGAGAGGAUCCCACAUGCCACAGAGCAACUAAUCCUGUGUACCUGCACCACAACUAAGGAGCCUGUGCUCUAGAGCCUGGGAACCACAACUACUGACCCCAUGUGCCUCAGUUACUGAAAUGUGUGCCCUAGAGCCCAUGCUCUGCAACAAGAGAAGCCCCUGAAAUGAGAUGCCUGCUUACCUCAACUAGAGAGUAGCCUGCACAGCAACAAAGACACAAUAC
Long non-coding RNA from Bos taurus (domestic cattle), 955 nucleotides. The record is from Ensembl. Lineage: Eukaryota; Metazoa; Chordata; Mammalia; Artiodactyla; Bovidae.